RNAcentral lists this ribosomal RNA (465 nucleotides) under Vreelandella stevensii. Its description in RNAcentral is "partial 16S ribosomal RNA". It matches the Rfam family "Bacterial small subunit ribosomal RNA", at positions 338 to 795 of the family's 1533-position model. Lineage: Bacteria; Pseudomonadati; Pseudomonadota; Gammaproteobacteria; Oceanospirillales; Halomonadaceae. The record is from RNAcentral.
UCUACGGGAGGCAGCAGUGGGGAAUAUUGGACAAUGGGCGAAAGCCUGAUCCAGCCAUGCCGCGUGUGUGAAGAAGGCCUUCGGGUUGUAAAGCACUUUCAGUGGGGAAGAAAGCCUUGGGGCUAAUACCCUCGAGGAAGGACAUCACCCACAGAAAAAGCACCGGCUAACUCCGUGCCAGCAGCCGCGGUAAUACGGAGGGUGCGAGCGUUAAUCGGAAUUACUGGGCGUAAAGCGCGCGUAGGCGGUCUGAUAAGCCGGUUGUGAAAGCCCCGGGCUCAACCUGGGAACGGCAUCCGGAACUGUCAGGCUAGAGUGCAGGAGAGGAAGGUAGAAUUCCCGGUGUAGCGGUGAAAUGCGUAGAGAUCGGGAGGAAUACCAGUGGCGAAGGCGGCCUUCUGGACUGACACUGACGCUGAGGUGCGAAAGCGUGGGUAGCAAACAGGAUUAGAUACCCCAGUAGUC